This 445-nucleotide ribosomal RNA is filed under the name Serratia marcescens. RNAcentral's name for it is "partial 23S ribosomal RNA". It matches the Rfam family "Bacterial large subunit ribosomal RNA", at positions 1183 to 1629 of the family's 2925-position model. The record is from RNAcentral. Lineage: Bacteria; Pseudomonadati; Pseudomonadota; Gammaproteobacteria; Enterobacterales; Yersiniaceae. RNAcentral also lists the same sequence under 1 other name.
UAAACCAUGCACCGAAGCUGCGGCAGCGACGCUUAGCGUUGUUGGGUAGGGGAGCGUUCUGUAAGCCGUUGAAGGUGACCUGUGAGGGUUGCUGGAGGUAUCAGAAGUGCGAAUGCUGACAUAAGUAACGAUAAAGCGGGUGAAAAGCCCGCUCGCCGGAAGACCAAGGGUUCCUGUCCAACGUUAAUCGGGGCAGGGUGAGUCGACCCCUAAGGCGAGGCUGAAAAGCGUAGUCGAUGGGAAACAGGUUAAUAUUCCUGUACUUGGUGUUACUGCGAAGGGGGGACGGAGAAGGCUAGGCUAGCCGGGCGACGGUUGUCCCGGUUUAAGCGUGUAGGGGGUGUGACCUGGUAAAUCCGGUUGCAUGUUAACCCUGAGGCGUGAUGACGAUGCACUACGGUGCAGAAGUAGUUGAUGCCCUGCUUCCAGGAAAAUCCUCUAAGCU